GCCGUAGUGGCUUAGUGGUAGAGCACUCCCUUGGUAAGGGAGAGGUCGUGGGUCCGAUUCCCACUUACGGCACCA
RNAcentral lists this transfer RNA (75 nucleotides) under Holosporales bacterium. Its description in RNAcentral is "tRNA-Thr". It matches the Rfam family "tRNA". Rfam says of the family: Transfer RNA (tRNA) molecules are approximately 80 nucleotides in length. Their secondary structure includes four short double-helical elements and three loops (D, anti-codon, and T loops). The record is from RNAcentral. Lineage: Bacteria; Pseudomonadati; Pseudomonadota; Alphaproteobacteria; Holosporales.